UACGUAGGGGGCAAGCGUUGUCCGGAAUCAUUGGGCGUAAAGAGCGCGUAGGCGGCCCUGUAAGUCCGCUGUGAAAGUCAAGGGCUCAACCCUUGAAUGCCGGUGGAUACUGCAGGGCUAGAGUCCGGAAGAGGCGAGUGGAAUUCCUGGUGUAGCGGUGGAAUGCGCAGAUAUCAGGAGGAACACCUAUAGCGAAGGCAGCUCGCUGGGACGACACUGACGCUGGAGACGCGAAAGCGUGGGGGAGC
Molecule: ribosomal RNA, 248 nt
Filed under: uncultured bacterium
Lineage: Bacteria
Description: partial 16S ribosomal RNA
Rfam family: Bacterial small subunit ribosomal RNA
Source: RNAcentral